This 993-nucleotide ribosomal RNA is filed under the name Triticum aestivum (bread wheat). Its description in RNAcentral is "partial small subunit ribosomal RNA". Lineage: Eukaryota; Viridiplantae; Streptophyta; Magnoliopsida; Poales; Poaceae. The record is from RNAcentral.
AUGCUAGCAAGAUGGGUAGCAUAUCUGCAGAGAUUUAACUAUCUCAUCAUGCAUAAAUCUGGAACAACUAACCGAGUGGUCGAUGCUUCGAGUCGUCGGGCAUGCCUCUUGACUUCUUUUGAGGCUGAACUUCCAGGCGUGGAUCAAAUAAAGAAGUUGGAUGAGAAUGAUGAAGACUUUGGCCAUGUUUGGGUAAAGCACAUCAGGGGCCAGCCAUUAGGUGAUGACUAUUUGGUGCAGGAUGUUUAUCUCUUCAAAAAUGAUCGUUUGUGCAUCCCAAGGAGUUCUCUGCGUGACAAACUAAUUAGAGAACUCCAUUCAAGUGAUCUUAGUGGCCAUGUUGGACGGGACAAGACUAUCGCUAACCUGGAAGCUCGCUACUUUUGGCCACAACUAAAGAGAGAUGCUGGAAAGUUUGUCCAGCGAUGCCCUAUAUGUCAAACCUGCAAAGGCCAAGUCCAGAACACAGGGUCAUACAUGCCUUUGCCUGUUCCUGUUGCUCCAUGGGAGUACAUCUCUAUGGACUUCGUCUUGGGUUUGCCAAGAACAAGACGAGGGAGUGAUGCCGUGUUUGUGGUCGUGGAUAUAUUCUCUAAGAUGGCUCAUUUCAUCCCAUGUCGCAAGACAACGGAUGCUCAUCAUGUGUCAAACCUAUUCUUCCGAGAAGUGGUCAGACUUCAUGGAGUUCCAAGGUCCAUUGUCUCAGACCGUGAUAGCAAGUUUCUUGCUGCAUUUUGGCUCACUUUGUGGAAGCAAUUCAACACUGAAUUGAAAUUUUCUAGCACUGCUCAUCCACAAACAGAUGGACGAACGGAAGUGGUGAACAAGUUUUUGGGUAAUCUGAUCCGUUGCAUUUGUGGAGAAAGAAAGGGACAAUGGGUUAUGGCUCUAUCUCUUGAAGAGUUCUCCUACAAUAACUCCAAGCAUAGAUCCACAGGAAGGAGCCCUUUUUCCAUUGUCUACACUAAAGUUCCAACACACUGGUGGACCUGA